GCCGCAGUGGCUCAGUGGUAGAGCACGUCAUUGGUAAUGACGGGGUCGGUGGUUCAAUUCCACCCUGCGGCACCA
Molecule: transfer RNA, 75 nt
Filed under: Alphaproteobacteria bacterium
Lineage: Bacteria; Pseudomonadati; Pseudomonadota; Alphaproteobacteria
Also listed under: 2 other names
Description: tRNA-Thr
Rfam family: tRNA
About the family: Transfer RNA (tRNA) molecules are approximately 80 nucleotides in length.
Source: RNAcentral